Long non-coding RNA from Strigops habroptila (Kakapo), 1200 nucleotides. RefSeq lists it as uncharacterized. The record is from RefSeq and is a predicted model, not a curated record. Lineage: Eukaryota; Metazoa; Chordata; Aves; Psittaciformes; Psittacidae. The transcript is spliced from 2 exons.
AGCUGGCAGUGUAAGCCCCCAGGGUGCUGGUAAGCCCCAUGCAGAUCAGUCCAUGCAGCCCUGCUCGCAGAGUGCCAACAUGAUGUUUCUGUCCAGUUCUCCUGGUUAUUAACAGUUUGGUUUUAUAAAUGAGGAGUCCUUUGUAUUCUCCAGACGGUGACUUCCUGACGUACUUCUCCAGCUCAAGUUCCCCUUUGACUUCAGUGAGUAUUUUCUGUGCUCGGGGAGCAUUUUCCAUCACUUGGAGCCUGAAGGGGAAGAGGAUUUAUGGAAUGGGGAGCAUGGAGCACCAACUCAGCAAAUACCAAAGCAUGUGUGUAAGCUUUUAUACGCUGGAGAUGUAAGUACACAAGUGGUCUUGAUCUUAAGCCACUCUGUAUUGCUGGGUCCAAAGGCUGAACUGAAAACAUGCAACACAGUUUGCAUGCUGGCAUUUUGAGAUGUCUUCUCUAAGGAGCGGUUUCUCUCUGCUGUUAUUUUGCAUCUUCUUCCAAUCACUCUCAGUCUGUUUAACAGACUUACAGCCCCCCAGCACCCUCAGCACAUGCUGAAUGUCCCAUUGUCAGUGCAGUAGAUUAAUCAUUUUCUUAUGGUCUUAGUCUCUGUUCUCCUAAAUUUUGGCAAGGACAUUAUAAUAUCUGACCUAUUACUGUUUCUCUCUCCUUCUGACCUGCUGACGUCCCCCUGCUAUGGGUCAUUAUUAUGGAGGUCUUUGGUGGCCCUUCCAAUACUCUUAUGCUUUCUCUAGAGAUUAGCUUUCACUGCAGCCUUCAAAGUCAUCUCUCCGCACAUGGCAAGCUUCUUUCUAUGCAGAGUUUGGCUAAACCCAAUGAGAUUUGAAAUCUCGGAAACACAGACUUCAAAAGAAUUGGACAAAAUAGUCCUGGAACAGGCACCGGAGACCGCAUCCACCAGAUUCCUCUCAUUCCGAGGCAAGCCCAGUGAUACCUGUGUGAGUCUUUGUAAAUGUUUGUUUAACCUGUUUCUGGCACUGUUGAAAUGCUCCUCAGGAGCACACGCACGUGCUCGGGUUCUCCUGUUAACCCCCGUGAGCUGUGGCUUAGGGAAAAGCACCAAAUACUGCAAGAGAGCUGUUAACACUUCAUUAUUUGCAUAAGUGGUUUUUUAACCCCCUUCACCUUUCUUUUUUAAUAGCAACUUGGAAGCCGUUUAAAACUCCUUCCAUGAAAAGCUCUGUCA